UUCCUUUGCAAGUAUCAGGACCCCAGGAAAAAAACGCGCUCUGAGGAUGUGAGCGGUUCUCAGGUUAGAACUGCAGGGAGAGCUGAGCAGAUCUCCAGGAAGCCUUCUCCCAGGGUUCUCUCUUCUUUUCUAAACUGGUCUUCCAAGACCUCAGAAACAGGACAAAGGGCAGCCAUGACUCCUAACCGCAGGGCUCUGAUUUGCUGUUGAAGAGGGCUGUGAGGUGCUGCCAGAAUUCCCCCGUUUACCCCAGCCACUCUGGAGGGCCGCUCACUGGCUUACGUUGAGUCAAAUGGCCAUCUUAUAACCAAUCAUCUGGCUUCCUGCCAGUUAGGGGUACACUCCUAACGCCAGAAUACCAAUCCUCUGCCCUGUUCAAAUCCAGAUCUGACAGGCCUGGUGUACACCCACAGCCCCAGUGCUCAGGAGGCUGAGGCAAGAACACGAUGAGAGCUCCCUGUGCUACACAGUGAGACCUUUAAAAAUCCCCUCAGUGAGCACAGUGAGUGGCGAUCAGAGUCACUGGGAAACACCUUCUAACGGUUCCUUUCCCCGUAUUGAAACCACAGGAGAAAAGAAUGCUCGCUUGUCCUUUCAGAGAAAACAGAUGCUGGAUCUGGGCUGGAGACACCAUUUCUCAAUAGGAAACACACAAUGAAUUUUACCGUUCAGCGCCGCAGACUUCCAUGGGCACAGACGGCACAGGGAGGCCCACCGCCCAUUGAAGGCAGCAGAGAAGCAAUGUGUAAAAGAAACUGCCAGCCUAACUUACCUGCUCAGACCUCCCGAACUAUGUGGCUUUCGCUGGAUCUCCAAGAAGCAUCUGAAAGAGAAGAGGGGAGCUUUGGCUGCCGUCCCUGUGAUGACAGAGGCAGGAGAGAGAAGCGGGGCACUAAGAGGCCACAGGAGCGGAUGGAGUCUCUUCCCUUGGCUGCGGGGCAGAAACUCGGCUAAUAAAUCAAAACUCCUCUAGAGCUGCUGUUUGCCUCCUAAAGACACUUCAAACGAGGGCCAGAGUGCUCGUGGCUCAAGUUGUCAUCUAGAUCUAAACAACACACCUCUAAGACUACCUACAAGUUCAUUCAGAGAGUCUUUAAGAUAAAGAAAAUGAGACUUCAUCUCAAGGCGUAGCCAGAGAUCCCACUUUUCCUGAGCAGAAGUCCCCAUGUUUCCCUAGCACAUCACCACCACAAGCCAUUGCUCCUGGAGGGCCCAGGAGAUGUGACAGAGCACACACAGGUUGUCUGCUUUGAGGCCUCAUCCGGAGAAGGCCAAGUGAGAGCUAAAGACUGGUCAGGGGCUGGCAGGAAGGCAGGAUGGUCUCUCAGUGCCCAAGAGCCGAGAGCAGGUCAGUGACGCUGAGUCCUGAAGAGAUGGGAGGACACAGACCACCCAUAGCUACCGAAAUAAACAGCAAUGUCAACCAACCCUCAGGGGUGGGUCUGCUGCCCCUUGGCGUUCUGCUUUCCAACUAUCUACCAAAGCAGCGCCUCUGGGUACCUGGGCAGGGGGCAGGGACAUGAGGAGAUUCUGGUGCUCUUAGCUCUUCAUGCUACCCCAAAAGAAAGGAGGAGCCACCUUGAAGCCAGCUGGAACGAGGGAGAGCACCAAGAGAAUUUUAACCUACAGAGAGCAGAGGGACUGUUUAAAUGAUUGCAUCAAACAGCACUUACCGUCCACCCCCUUCAUACUGGAAGUAAAACCUCCAGGGAGAUACAAUUCGUUACAGAGAAAUGAGGAAGUUGAAACAAGGCCUAUUCUGAGGACACAGCCACAUCUGGACAGGCCUGGAACUCUGGCGGGGGAAGCUGGCUGGAAAUCUGUUUGAGAGAUGAAAAGGGCCCCUUUGGGAGGUUAUUCUCACACUUAAGAAAGGAACAAAACAAGUUGGGCCCAGAUACAGAGCCUCGGCUGAGAGAGGAGUGAAUGGUCUGAGGCCGGCAGAGCUGGGCUUCGUGGACUCUCCUGCCGGGUGACCCAGGAGGGACGGGAGGAAGGUGGACUGUGCAGCGGCCACAGUGACUCCCUCCAGCAGGCAUUCUCCGUGCUCUGGGGCUGGCUGCAGCUCUUCCAGGGGAUGCUUUCACAUGGACUCGGGCCUUUCAUAGGUGAGAAGUUUCCAUCAGGCCUAAAAUAUUUAUACGGCUCAGUAUCUGGAAUCAUCCCUGAAGAUGGAAGAGCAGAGUAGCUCGGAACUCCUGCACAGCCCCACCAGGUAGCCCUAUCCUGCCAAACGUUUCCUCUUCAUGUGAAACACAAAUGGAUCAGAUAGGAAGCAAAAAAAAAAAAAAAAAAAAAAAAAAAGAA
Meriones unguiculatus (Mongolian gerbil) is the source of this 2307-nucleotide long non-coding RNA. RefSeq lists it as uncharacterized. The transcript is spliced from 4 exons. Lineage: Eukaryota; Metazoa; Chordata; Mammalia; Rodentia; Muridae. The record is from RefSeq and is a predicted model, not a curated record.